AAUUAAACAGGCAGCCAGUGGAUUCAGCACAUCUGAACUAGCUCACAGGCUUCACUCCGUUUCCUGAAAAUAAGUCAGGUAGUUUUACACCAUAGACUGUACAUACUGUUUUACACCGACCGAGCAUCUGUAACGGACCGUUCCCUGUUUGAUGAAGACAUUUGUGAUGGACGCAAGUUAACGGAGACCGUCGGUUAAACAGAGACUGCAGCAGGGGGAAUAGGUUCUUUGAUCUGAGGUUAUUUAUUGAAGCGCCUCGUGAUUUUUAUCUGGAGAGGCGCUAUAGAAAUGAUGUUUUCUUCUUUUGUGGGCAGCUACGAGGGGAGUGCUUUCAACCAACAUGAGAACAGCACUCCAGCUGCUUUCCACCCCAACGAUUUCUUACUAGGUUUGUUUAUUUGUAUUCUUUCUAUCACGUUAAAGUUUUAAAGUAGCUCAGAGACCGAUCUAAUACCCAGUUAGCUUAGCUUGCUAAGUGAUGAUGGAAUGAUCACAGCUAGAAACACAGCUGUUAGUGUCCUGUUUAUACCUUUUACUGUUUCUGCUCCACUUUAUGCUAGCAAUGGAAAUCCCAAACUUCCACACAGUUGUGUUGAAGGCUAGCAUCAGAGCUGCGUACUCACUCAAGUCCUGCCUAAUAGCAUCUUGCACAUCUGGUUCCAGAUAAACAGAUGUAACACCAGCUAAAUAUCUAAAUACAAGGCUAGAAAAUAGUGUUGAUGUGCGGAAGUAGUAAACUAGCAAAAGUAGUGAAAAGAUGACUCCUAUCACUUCACCUGACCCGUUUAGUAUAAGUGAGAUUAGUAGAAUUAGAAAUAUUUAUUGUACAUCUGAGGAAGCUGUGGGCACAAUGAAAUCACAAAGGCUUCUUCAGGGUGCUGUUCCUAAUGUUUAUGAUGAGUAAAAGGGAAUAAAGGAAGAACAAAAGAGAACUGCUCGUAGGUUUUUGUGUGCAAAGAAUGCUUGAGGGAAGGAACUGAUCUUGAAUCUGCUUGUCUUUAGUCUCCUGGACCUGUAGCACUUGCCAGAGGGCAGCAGGUGAAACUGAUGGUGGGUGGGGUGAGUUUUGUGCCUGGUGAUGGCAUGGUGUCUGUGCUCUGCUGAGGAUGCAGGAUGAGUUUGUGUCUUUUAGGGAUGUUUUGACCACUUUCUGUGUCCGGUCUGCCUCAGUGGGAAUGGAGAACCACACAGAGGAGCUGUAGGUCAGGAUGCUUUCUGUGGAGGAAUUGGUUAAAGGUUGUCAGCAGCUUCCUGCUGAUGUUGCUCCUGAACACUCAGGAUGUGCAGAAGCUGCUGAGCCUUCUUGAUGAAGAACCUGGUGCAUGCAGACCUUGUCAGGUCAGCAGAGAUGUUAAUCAGAUGAACAUGUAAUCAUGCAACUAAUCACACAUUCUUUUUAAUCUCAUCAUAGGGAUGGGCUAUGUGGCCUAAAAUCAAUAUCAUGGUACAUUGUGGAUUUCAACUUGAAAACGAUAAAUGGACGAAAACUACAGUGCUCCCUGCAGAUUUAAGAAGAAGCCCCUGAAGAAUGGAAGCCUGGUGUGGACAGCAGAACCCCGAGCCCCUCAACAUAAAGGAGGAAGAGGAGGAGCUGUGGGACAGUGUGGAGAAGGACAAGCUUAACGGGAGAAAGGAGACUAAUGCCAGCAGGUUUUCAUUCACGUCUGUUCCUUUGAAGUGUGAAAACGAUGAUCAGAAACCUCUGUGCUCACAGUUUCAUCUGCAACAAGUGGAUGAUGGAGAUCUUCCAGCCAGCAGCUCAGCUGAUCAGCUGAAGGCAGCAGCUGGUGAGGAGGACUACGGAGCAGCAGAAAAUAGCUGGAACCUAGAUCUAAACCCUCACAGAGAGGAGUCCAACUCUUCAUUGACUGAAGUCAGUGAGAAUGAUGCAGAAGAUGACAUCAUGGACAGUCCUGAACUUCAGCUAAAUUACUUAAAGAAAAGAGUAUUAUCAUGCAGGAAGUCGUUUAGUUGUGAUGAUUGUGGAAAAACCUUUUCUAGAUCUUCGGAUCUAAAGGCACACACGAGAACCCAUACAGGAGAGAAACCUUUUGGUUGUGAGGUUUGUGGAAGAAGGUUUAACCUGAAAACACAUUUAAAUGCACAUGUGAGAAUCCACACCGGAGAGAAACCCUUUCCCUGUGGUGUGUGUGGUCAGAAGUUUAGACAUAAAAACUAUCUAAAUGGACACAUGAGAAGCCACACAGGGGAGAAACCGUUCUCUUGUGACGUUUGUGCUCAAAGUUUUAGACACAAAACAAAUUUAAACACACACAGGAGAAUUCACUCAGGAGAGAAACCAUAUCCUUGUGAUGUUUGUGGACGAAGAUUUAACCAAAAGACAAAUUUAAACACACACCUGAGAAUUCACACUGGACGGAAAGAGUUUGAUUGUGAUUUUUGCGGACUGCGGUUUAACCAGAAGAUCAAUUUGAACACACACAUGCGGGUCCACACAGGACAGAAACCUUUUCCUUGUGACGUUUGUGGGCAAAAAUAUAGUCGAAAGACACAUUUAAACAACCACAUGAAAAUCCACACAGAAGAAAAAACGACUGGUCAGUGAACAUGAAAGUCCAAGUAUUUCUAACAACUGUACUACGAUAACACCUGGGGAAUGCAGUGUGGACUUCCAUUGCAUGGUUGCAAAAAAAUCAUACCAACAAAUAUAAAAUGAUAUGCAAAUUGAAAUACAGUUCUAGAAAUGGGACUCGUACACAAAAAUAAAAUUCUGGUGAAUCGAGCCAGCAUCUAGAGAAAAUUCUGUUUUUCUAUGUUUACACAUAAUCUAUGAAGGGGAUCAUAACUUCCUUGGUGCUUGAACAGUGGGCAGUGAUGGCUGCACUAGUCCGGAAUAGGAAACUCGGUCAGUGUGUUUACAUGCAGCGUUAGAAAACUGAAUUAUUACUUUAGUCUGGCUGAAGUGGAACCAAACUGGACUAAUCCUAAUCGAGCUAAGGCACCCAGAUAACGGGGUUAGAAAACCAAACUUAUCUCUAUGUAAGCAACAUCCGAGCUUAGCCAAGCUAUGACCAACCCAGGCGCUCCCCUUCAAGAAGAGACGAGACCGCAGAAGCAGUGACCGCACCUGCUGUGUGAUCUGUGACAUCACAGCCCAGUUAACCGGAAGAUUGUCGACACGAAAGGGCUCAUGUCACCACCGUCACGGAGUCGAAUGCACAUCAUUGAAAAAUUUGUUUUCCUAACUGACAUGUAAACUAGGAUAAAGUCUCCCUUUCUGGUUCAGGUACUGGCUCUAUUAAUGCCGUAGUUCUACUUAACAUCCUGAGUCGUGGUGCAGUCUGGGAAAGCAAACACCCCUCAUCACCCGCUGCACCUCAUUGUUCCCCACAUCUCGUCUGUAGGUGAAAAUAAGGAAGUCAUUGUGUUGUUAAUGCAUGUGAUUCAAAAGGUUGGAAUAAUUUCCCACAGAGGAGGACAAGUCAGAAGAAGCUCAGACCGAGCCAGCGCUCAACUCUGGUUUCUCAGGCUGGGGUGGAAGCUGCUGUGGUUGGGUUGUGUGGGUCAGUAGCUGCUGAAGCUUUUGUUUAGAGUAAAGUGUGUGUGUGUGUGUGUGUGUGUGUGUGUGUGUGCGCGUGCGCGUGCCUCAGCAUCUGCCUGUGCUCAGUUUGUGAUUCCUAACCUAUAAACAGAUAAAGAUGAGGCAAAAGAAUUUUCCAGUUCUGUGGCUUUUAUACACAAAUAUUAAUUGUUGUAAAUAUUUAAUAUGUUCAAAUAGGCUAGAUAUGAAGUAUUACUUAUGGCUUUGUGGAAAAACCGAGUUUUAUGUCUUAAAAAUUAAAGGUACAAAAUCGUG
Molecule: non-coding RNA, 3817 nt
Organism: Nothobranchius furzeri (turquoise killifish)
Lineage: Eukaryota; Metazoa; Chordata; Actinopteri; Cyprinodontiformes; Nothobranchiidae
Source: RefSeq, a predicted model, not a curated record